Non-coding RNA from Misgurnus anguillicaudatus (oriental weatherfish), 995 nucleotides. The record is from RefSeq and is a predicted model, not a curated record. Lineage: Eukaryota; Metazoa; Chordata; Actinopteri; Cypriniformes; Cobitidae.
AGGUGAUUGACAGCUGUGUUCACCUAUUGGAGAGUAGGGCUCUCUAUUUAAAGGCUGAUUGGCUGAAGCCGUGUAUGUGUCACGUCUGAUUUCCCUCCCCUUGUGUCUCUUGAUGGUCGUUACAGUGUGUGUUGGCUCCGAUGCUGGUGCCUGUUAGCACUGUUCCAUGGAUUUUAAAAGUGCUAGUCUCUCCGGUUGACUCCCUGUAUGCCAGGGCACUGGUGGCUGCCAUGACAGCUGUAUGCCAGUGUCCGUAAGGUGUCAUGCCUGGCGUAAGAAGCGGAUUCUCCCUCUCGUUCCGGGCUGUGAUUACCUCUUCGCGCUGUUUUUAGCGCUGCUAUUUAGCUUGCAGUGCGCACGUGUUGACAUCAUUAAAGGGUGCUGCUGGUGUCCGGUCAACCUUUUAAUAUCGCACAAUAUAGUGCUCAAAUCCAUAUGUGUUGGGGACAUGAACGUUUUUGGUUUAAAGAUUAAAUGAUGCUCUGAAUGAGCUCUGUGGUUCCCCUAUCCAACCUCUUUAAUUAUUUUGUUUCUUUUGUUUAUUUUUGUAUUUAUACUUUGUUUGCUGCACGUGACUCCUCAUCGUUGUAACGUGCCCGGGUGUAUGUGUGGCCUAUUGAACCUAGUAACACACUGUGACAGAGGGGAGUGGAGCUGGGGUCCCACGGGUGACAGGAAUUUCUACGGUGGUGGUGCUUCUCAUCGUGUGCUGUGUAACAUCUUGUGUGUUUCGUAGUGUGAUUUGAGUGCACUUUGGUGUGUGUGGUUGUGUGGAAGUGUGCUCUGCUCAAACUGAAUUCUGUCCUCUGCCGUUGGGAGCCUCAGCCCUGCUGGUAACAUUCUCUUUUCUUUAUUUGUUUUGAUUUAACCUUUUUGUUAUAAUUAAAAUUGUGUCUUUUCCUUUUAAGGGGAAAGAAUGAGUACUUGGUGUGUCUUUUUAAUCUAGUGUUUUUAAAUAUUUGUAUCAAUAAAAUUAUGUAACAUUUUGCAUUAUA